This 219-nucleotide ribosomal RNA is filed under the name uncultured Syndiniales. Its description in RNAcentral is "partial 18S ribosomal RNA". It matches the Rfam family "Eukaryotic small subunit ribosomal RNA", at positions 1426 to 1646 of the family's 1831-position model. Lineage: Eukaryota; Dinophyceae; Syndiniales. The record is from RNAcentral.
GGACCAACUCGCGAUGCAUCUAGAUUCAGGUCUGUGAUGCCCUUAGAUGUCCUGGGCCGCACGCGCGUUACACUGAUGCAUUCAACGAGCUUAUAACCUUGGCCGAGAGGCCUGGGCAAUCUUGUUAACGUGCAUCGUGAUAGGGAUAGAUUAUUGAAAUUAUUAAUCUUGAACGAGGAAUUCCUAGUAAACGCAGAUCAUCAAUCUGCAUUGAAUCGG